This 1457-nucleotide long non-coding RNA is filed under the name Serinus canaria (Common canary). RNAcentral's name for it is "lncRNA (ENSSCAG00000010797.1)". Lineage: Eukaryota; Metazoa; Chordata; Aves; Passeriformes; Fringillidae. The record is from RNAcentral.
GUUGGAAAGGGCCUUAAAGUUCAUCUGUUCCACCCUUUGCCACGGCCAGGGACACCUGGGACACUAUCCCAGAUUUCUCCAAGCUCUGUCUAGCCUGGCCUUGGACACUUCCAGGGAUGGGGCAGCCACAGCUUCUCUGCUGCCAGGAUCUCACCACCCUCACAGGGAAAAAUAUUUUCUUAAUAUCCAGUCAACCCUCCCGGCUGUCAAUGUGUCAACCCAUUCCCCCCGUCCUAUCACCCCAGGCCUCUCUCUGUAAUUAGCCUUGCCCCACCUCUCCUCUAAGUUCCCUUCACCUACUGCAAGGCCACAAUUAGGUCACCCCGGAGCUUCUCUUCUCCAGGCUGAACACUCCCAAUUCUCUCAGCCUUUCCUCAUGUCAAAAUUACACCUAAAAACGGGGAGAAAAACUGUGAAAUCCCGGUAGGUUUUAAAUCAAUACUCUAAAUUCAGCUGAGGAGCGGGCCCGCCUCCAUCUCCACUGCGGGCUGCGGCACCUCAGCCCCGCCAGGCCCGAGCGGACACGGAGGGCAGAGACCGAGCGGGGACGGAACCGUGCGGGGACCCCGCGGCCCUCAGGGAGAAAACGAGGGGGCCAUGGAGGAGCAUCCCCUCAGCGCUCACCUGCCGCUCCCGCCUGGCCGCUCCGCCGCGCCCGCCCGGAGGUGACGGGACCGCGGCGCUCGGGAAGUGACGGAGCCCGGGGCGGGACGGGGCGUGCUGUGCCGGGCCCAGUUCCGCGUUGUGCCGGGCCGAGCGGAGCCGCCGGAGCGUGGAAAGUCAUUAACCCCCAGGUGAGGGGCUGUGUCACUCCAGUGUGACUCCAGUGUCACUCCAGUGUCACAUGAACCGUGCUCUCUUGCUCUGUGGGGGCAGCAGCUUUGCAAGAGGAGUCUUUGGGCUGCAGAGCUGAGGACGUGGUUGGCUCCUCCAGCACCUUCAGAUCCUGGAGAAGUGGUGGAGAGGGAAUAGCUGGGAGGAGCUGGAAGGGGUAGGUAAUGUUUCACUUCCAAACUGAUCCCAUCCUUCACCUGAAUGGGUUCCUGUGCCAGGCAGCCUUUGGCUUUUGAGGGAAAGUGCUCUCCAGGUUUCUCUGCCAGGGAAUUGUUAACUUAUUCUCUCUGUAGAGCAUUUAAUGACUGAAGAAAAACCCUUCUCUCAGAUGUGCAAUUCUUUACCUAACUGGAAAGGCUGGAUUUUAAUCCUUUUUUCUCCUUAUUGUAACUGAAGAACAGGGGUGUAGAAAAAGAAGAAGGAAUGUCAGAAAAGUUGAGGAGAAGGAAGCAACAGGAUUGGAACAUUUGGCUUUAAAUGCAAGGUCUAACUGGAAAUGAUGUGUUGCUGAGGUGGCUGGGGGAACAACAAAAUUCUUCAAGCUCUAACUCUGGUUCUGGGAGCUGUGUGAGCAGGAAGUGAUGGAGGUGAGACUCAGGGCUCUUUCAGUAAGAAGUGGUAAG